GCCGUAAACAAUUAAUUUACACCAAUAAGCGCCAGGGAAUUACGAGCAAUGCUUAAAACCCAAAGGAUUUGACGGUGUCCCACCCCACUAGAGGAGCCUGUUCUAUAAUCGAUGAUCCCCGAUACACCCGACCAUUUCUCGCUUAUCAGUCUGUAUACCUCCGUCGAAAGCUUACCAUGUGAACGCCCGCAGUAGGCUUAAUGACCUUACACGUCAGUACGUCAGGUCAAGGUGCAGCUUAAGAAAUGGGAAGCAAUGGGCUACAAUUUCUAAUUUAGAACAAACGAAAGACUGUAUGAAAUUACAAUCAUGAAGGUGGAUUUAGUAGUAAAAAGAAAGUAGAGUGUUCUUUUUAACCCGGCUCUGGGACGCGUACACACCGCCCGUCACCCUCUUCGAUAGUAUCUUAUCUAGUUCCUAACCUAUUACUACAUUUUAGAAGAGGCAAGUCGUAACAUGGUAAGUGUACUGGAAAGUGCACUUGGUUUAU
RNAcentral lists this ribosomal RNA (490 nucleotides) under Lithobates septentrionalis (mink frog). RNAcentral describes it as "partial 12S ribosomal RNA". It matches the Rfam family "Bacterial small subunit ribosomal RNA", at positions 799 to 1533 of the family's 1533-position model. The record is from RNAcentral. Lineage: Eukaryota; Metazoa; Chordata; Amphibia; Anura; Ranidae.